GCGGAUGUGGCGGAAUUGGUAGACGCACCAGACUUAGGAUCUGGUGCCGCAAGGCGUGGGGGUUCGAGUCCCUUCAUCCGCA
RNAcentral lists this transfer RNA (82 nucleotides) under Bacteroidales bacterium. RNAcentral describes it as "tRNA-Leu". It matches the Rfam family "tRNA". Rfam says of the family: Transfer RNA (tRNA) molecules are approximately 80 nucleotides in length. Their secondary structure includes four short double-helical elements and three loops (D, anti-codon, and T loops). The record is from RNAcentral. Lineage: Bacteria; Pseudomonadati; Bacteroidota; Bacteroidia; Bacteroidales.